This 109-nucleotide ribosomal RNA is filed under the name Arthrobacter humicola. RNAcentral's name for it is "partial 16S ribosomal RNA". It matches the Rfam family "Bacterial small subunit ribosomal RNA", at positions 1 to 108 of the family's 1533-position model. The record is from RNAcentral. Lineage: Bacteria; Bacillati; Actinomycetota; Actinomycetes; Micrococcales; Micrococcaceae.
UCAACGGAGAGUUUGAUCCUGGCUCAGGAUGAACGCUGGCGGCGUGCUUAACACAUGCAAGUCGAACGAUGAUCCGGUGCUUGCACCGGGGAUUAGUGGCGAACGGGUG